RNAcentral lists this long non-coding RNA (1235 nucleotides) under Homo sapiens (human). RNAcentral describes it as "non-protein coding lnc-SH3BGRL-4:1". Lineage: Eukaryota; Metazoa; Chordata; Mammalia; Primates; Hominidae. The record is from RNAcentral.
CUGUGCACCACCCACCCCAAUGCCAGCUGCAGCUUUAUCUCAGACUCUGGCUCCCACCUGGCAUCUGGCAUUCCAGACUAAGUGGACUUACACAUGCACUUCUCACAGUCCUUGCUGUCCAUAAAGCAGUUUCUGGACUGCGUAUAUGUGAGUGCUAGUGAAAAGGCAUCAUUUGUGCUUCUCCAGUAAUACUUGCCUAUUAAAUUAGCAAAUAUAAUAAAAAGAAUAAGUCUUCUUUCACAUAAUCUUCUCAGGACAUCAUCAAUUCAAUUGGUACAAAGCUUGUAUAUACAGAGUCUUCAGGAGCAUCUUGAUUUUUAAGGACAAAAGCACUAUGAGAUGCUAAAACGAUUCAUUACUUUACAGAUAACUGUGAUAUGGAUCAGGAACUGACACAAAGACAUCCUUUCUAAAAUGGCCCAGAAUGUGAUUGAAUAAGAAAGCUUUGGAGUAGAUUCUGUCACCAGAGUGCUCAGUACUUUUUGAAUCAUUUUUACAUGAGUUGCCUUUCAACUAGAAUGUUACUCUAUCUGCACUCUUUAUUGUUUGGUGAAAAAGAUGAAGUCUAUCUCCUGAAAAACAUAUUGCAAUCAUAAAUGCAAACUGCAGUGUAGACAAAAUUAUUAAAUAUGGCUAUGAAAAUGCCGCACAUCUGUGUGAUUUGUAUUAUAUUGAUUCUUCCAAAUUCAAACAUGAAGAAGUAAAUGUAAAGCCAUGAGGACAACCAAUAUAAGUGGGUUAUAUACCAUCGUAUCUCUUUCACCUGGUGUUUGAAUUUUUCAAGAAUGCAAUGAGAACAACUAUGGGCCAUCAUGUCAAUGAAGUGUUUAUCUCCCUAUUCAAGUUUCUGUCACACUGGGUAAUAAAGAUUUGACUGUAAAAUGAGUGACUGAGGAGGUAGUGUUCCUUUGAGGAAAACUGACAGACUCUUCAUCUACAUGUGUUCAACUGCACCACAUCCUGGUGCUGAGAUUUUCUGAGCUCUGGCUAGGUUUGGUUACAGAUUGCCCAUAUCAUGUCUUUAUGCACAGUACUACCAAGGAGAUCUAAUGCUAUAUUCCUGGAGGGUUACAAAACAGACACCGCUAUCUACAUUAAAGCAUUGCCAACAGAAUCAAUAGAAAGACUCCAAGUGUAUAAUAAAACUGCCUGGAAAUAUUACUACACUUUGAGGCUGAUGACUGAUGUGUUCCCAGCAGGGACCCAAAAUACAUGACAAUUUUAUACAGUUCUUA